GCAGCCGCGGUAAUUCCAGCUCCAAUAGCGUAUAUUAAAGUUGUUGCAGUUAAAAAGCUCGUAGUUGAACUUCGGGAUCAAUUGAUUGGUCAUGCCGUUGGUAUGUACUGGUCAUAUUGGUUCUCACCUUCUAAGGAACCAUAAUGUCAUUAAUUUGAUGUUUUGGGGAAUUAGGACUGUUACCUUGAAAAAAUUAGAGUGUUUAAAGCAGGCUAACGCUUGAAUACGUUAGCAUGGAAUAAUGAAAUAGGACAUCGCAUUCUAUUUUGUUGGUUUCUAGGAUCGAUGUAAUGAUUAAUAGGGAUAGUUGGGGGCAUUAGUAUUCAAUUGUCAGAGGUGAAAUUCUUGGAUUUAUUGAAGACUAACUACUGCGAAAGCAUUUGCCAAGGAUGUUUUCAUUAAUCAAGAACGAAAGUUAGGGGAUCGAAGACGAUCAGAUACCGUCGUAGUCUUAACCAUAAACUAUGCCGACUAGGGAUCGGAUGAUGUUAAUUUUUUAAUGACUCA
This 507-nucleotide ribosomal RNA is filed under the name uncultured Glomus. Its description in RNAcentral is "SSU rRNA". It matches the Rfam family "Eukaryotic small subunit ribosomal RNA", at positions 570 to 1078 of the family's 1831-position model. The record is from RNAcentral. Lineage: Eukaryota; Fungi; Glomeromycota; Glomeromycetes; Glomerales; Glomeraceae.